GAUGAACGCUAGCGGCAGGCUUAAUACAUGCAAGUCGUGGGGCAGCAGGACUGUAUCAAUACAGUUGCUGGCGACCGGCAAACGUGUGCGGAACACGUACGCAACUUACCCUGAACUGGGGGAUAGCCCGGGGAAACCCGCAUUAAUACCCCGUAAUAUAAUAGAGUGGCAUCACUUUAUUAUUAAAGCUCCGGCGGUUCGGUAUGGGCGUGCGGCUGAUUAGGUAGUUGGUUGAGGUAACGGCUCACCAAGCCUACGAUCAGUAACUGGUGUGAGAGCAGGACCCGUGACACGGGAACUGAGACCCAGGCCCGAACCCUACGGGAGGGAGCAGUAAGGAAGAUUGGGAACUGGAGGCAAAUCUGACCCAGCCACGCCGGGUGGAGGAGGAAGGCCAUCGGGGUUGUCAACUUCUUUUAUAGGGGACGAAACCUGUGUAUUCUUACGCAGUUGACGGUACCCUAGGAAUAAGCACCGGCUAACUACGUG
RNAcentral lists this ribosomal RNA (489 nucleotides) under uncultured bacterium. RNAcentral's name for it is "partial 16S ribosomal RNA". It matches the Rfam family "Bacterial small subunit ribosomal RNA", at positions 28 to 507 of the family's 1533-position model. The record is from RNAcentral.